Gouania willdenowi (blunt-snouted clingfish) is the source of this 1475-nucleotide long non-coding RNA. Ensembl lists it as uncharacterized. The record is from Ensembl. Lineage: Eukaryota; Metazoa; Chordata; Actinopteri; Blenniiformes; Gobiesocidae.
AAAUGAGCAAGAAGGCAAGAAUGAGUUGCUGUUCAUUGUUAGGACUUGUUUCGUUCAUACUUGCUACAGCUGGGCAUUAUUCAACUGAUGCUUUGCUGAUGGUGGCCUUGAGAGGAGAAACAGUAGUUUUGUCAUGUGGUUUACCUCCUGCUGAAUCUUGCUCCUCUAUAAACUGGAACAUGGAAGGAGGGUUUGGAUCCAUUGUUGAGUUGGUGAAGAACGGAGGUGUGACAGCAGGGAACAGAUUCAGACAUGAAUUAUUGGAGGACUGUUCUUUGAAGAUCACACACCUGGAGGUCAGCGAUGCCAGGAUUUACUGCUGUGUGAGUGACUUAUUCAACUCUAGUGUUUCACUGCAACUUCUGAAGGUUACAGAGUGGUCAGACUCUGUAGAAGGCAAAGUGGAGCUUCACUGUUUUCUUGAUAAGUAUACUGGAUACACUGCCUGCAAGCCCAACACUGGGAUCCACAUCCAGUGGGUUGCAGAGGAUGAUUCACCACUACAAGGAGACAGAUUUAUUGUCUCCAAUCCAUCAGAAUGCUUCUCUAAACUAACUAUUACCAGUAAACCAACGGACCAUCACAGAAAAUGGAAAUGCCGUCUCAGUCAAAAUGACAAGCUUACAGCAACCGUCACCUAUAUGACGUCAUUAAAAGAUGGCAUAGAGGAAGUGUUUGCUGCAGUGGGAGACCCUGUGACACUGUCAUGUGGUACUUCCUCUCAUGGCGUGGGAGGCAGCGUGGAUUGGGUGGCGUGUAAGAAGUCACUGUCAAAUACCUCAUCAUCUGUGUGCGGCCAAACCAACACAUUUCACCAGAACAAUGACACACAGCUGGUUAUCACUGAAGUAAGGAAUGAACAUGCUGGAAACUACACAUGUUCACAGACUGUAGGUCAGAAAAAGAUGCUCAACAAUAUUCGACUUCACACCCUUGAUAUCAUUGUGGAGUCAGGCCCGGCCGAGGGUAACACCACCCUGACCUGUGUGCUCACCUGUGCUACAGAGUGUGAUAAAGACUUCACUUUAACUUGGUCUGAGAAGAAUCAACAAAAUGAACAGAAUCCAUUAAUAAUGACUGUUGGCGACACCAUAGUGAAGCCCUUACAGCUCCCAGUGGGGUUACUGGUAUCAGAGGAAGUAACCUGUUCUGUGCACAGUGAGGGCGUGCUGGUGGCAUCAAAGAAAUGGCAUUCUGUCAGCCUUCUACAAAAUGCUGCAUGGUUAGCACGUCCUCUGUGCAUUGUGAUGUGUGUAGCAGCUGGUGGACUCUUCACUUUUAUGUACAUGAAGAAGAGGUACAAGAGAAAUUCAGGUAAUGAAGAGUCAAGAAUGGCAAUGGUAAAAAAUGCAAACAGAGAACAGUUUGUGCAGUAUGUCCAUAUCAUUAGCAUCCUGAUGCUCAUUGUACAUCUCUAUAUUUCAUCUUUAAUGCUGAGGGAUGCAAAGUAUCAGAACACACCAAAGUUACUGUAG